UACGGAGGGUGCAAGCGUUAAUCGGAAUUACUGGGCGUAAAGCGCGCGUAGGCGGCUUGGUCAGUCGGGUGUGAAAUCCCUGGGCUCAACCUGGGAACUGCAUUCGAUACUGCCUGGCUAGAGUGUGAGAGAGGGUGGUGGAAUUCCCGGUGUAGCGGUGAAAUGCGUAGAUAUCGGGAGGAACAUCAGUGGCGAAGGCGACCGCCUGGCCCAACACUGACGCUGAGGUGCGAAAGCGUGGGUAGCAAACAGGAUUAGAAACCCC
This 265-nucleotide ribosomal RNA is filed under the name uncultured bacterium. RNAcentral's name for it is "partial 16S ribosomal RNA". It matches the Rfam family "Bacterial small subunit ribosomal RNA", at positions 524 to 788 of the family's 1533-position model. The record is from RNAcentral.